AACGUAGGACGCAAGCGUUAUCCGGAGUUACUGGGCGUAAAGCGCGGGCAGGCGGUCGGUCAAGUCUGAUGUGAAAUCUUUCCGCUCAACGGGGAGCAGCCAUUGGAAACUGGGCGACUGGAGUCUGACAGAGGUAGGCGGAAUUCCGGGUGGAGUGGUGAAAUGCGUAGAGAUCCGGAGGAACACCAGAGGCGAAGGCGGCCUACUGGGUCAGUACUGACGCUGAGCCGCGAAAGCCAGGGGAGCGAACGGG
Molecule: ribosomal RNA, 253 nt
Filed under: uncultured bacterium
Lineage: Bacteria
Description: partial 16S ribosomal RNA
Rfam family: Bacterial small subunit ribosomal RNA
Source: RNAcentral